This is a long non-coding RNA of Lolium perenne, 938 nucleotides long. RefSeq lists it as uncharacterized. The record is from RefSeq and is a predicted model, not a curated record. NCBI's taxonomy places the organism in Eukaryota, Viridiplantae, Streptophyta, Magnoliopsida, Poales, Poaceae.
CUAGCUGCCACAGAUCUGAUCCCUCCGACGAGGAUGUGUUCGCCUCCAUUAUCCGGCCAUGGCCGCUCGCUGAAGGAGGCCACCGCCGAGGCCAAUAGUCUUACGCACGUACGGAACCAAAGCCCGGCGUCGCCGCCACCAUGGCUGAGGAUGGAGCCAAACUCUCCGCGUCACAGGUCGUCCUCUCCCUCCUAUAUCACUGGAUGACAUCUUUGCCCCGCCCAGUCGGCCGGUCUACAAGACCACCAGGUCAUAACCUGGAUCAUGCAGGAGAGCAGCACUCCUCCGCGGUGAUGCACUGCCUGGAUGCAGCGAAUCUCUGAGGGAAUGCACCCAUGCCAGAUUUCAGCCAUUGGUUCAUCCAUCACUUUUUGGCUACAUCGGAUCAGCCGAGCAAAUGUAAAUCUCAGAAUUUCUGUAGCACUCUUGAAGACAUGCAUGUAAUGACAGAGCAUGAGGACAACACUGCAGAGAGAUGUGGCUGCCAUUUGUUAUUAUAUACACCGGAGAAGGCAAUAAGGUGCUAAAUAAAGUUCUUGUCUAAGAGUUUAUUUUGUUAUAUGUGAUUUACCAAAUUGCUCAUGUUACUUGCUGCACAUAUGUGUUGACCAUAACUGAUUUUUUUUUUGCUUUCCCUAUUAUCCUAGGUGUCCCAAAUAUUGUCGGCAUUGUUGUAUGUGGGCUGUCGCAAUGUCGUUGAAAAUGCAUAACAUUGUCCUACACUACUAUUUUGUUAUACUUGAUUCCUGAAAAUGUUCUUACUCUAAUUUUGUGGUACUUUGUGUUUUAUGGGUAUACUCGACUGGUUGUUAACUCAUCCCUUGUGUAAGUAGUGCACGCUCCUGGUAAACUGAAUAAUGUAAUUGAGUAAUUGAGUUAGUGGUUCCAUGAGUGCUUGCAUGAGUACUCAUGAAAUCCACAGGUCAAAACAUUAGCUA